AUGGGAAACAAGCAGCACUCAGCAUAGGGGUUCCUCUUGUUGGGAAGGGAAGAACUGAAAGCAACUCAAGUACAUCGAAUAAAUGAAAAAUUAACGACCUACAGAUCAGAAUUGCUUAAUAUAUAAACUGCACUAUUAUUUUGGACGGCCGAUGGAUCAACACCAAAAUGCUCUUUCAUUUUACCAACAAACCUUACCCUAGCACACCCCAACAGCACACAAGUAAUGGGAAUCCAAUUGUUCAGCGCUUGGAUUUUGCUCAAGAUUAACUAGCUCAAACAAGCCCUAUCUCCAAAGUCAAGCCUAGAAUUAAUAUGGGGUUAUAGACAUGAAUAAGUAGUGUGGGCACUUCCCGUGAUCCCACAUUUGUAUUUACAGUUCAACAAAAACUAAGUUGCCGUUAAGAAACUAUAUUUUCUUGAUUAUCAGCCGAGUCAGAGGCAGGAACGAGGAUAUCCACAGCUCUAAUGGUGAAAAGACGCCAUCUCAAGGAACACCAGCCGAAAAAUGUGGUGAUAUGUCAUUAUAAUGACUUUCUUCCCUCGUGCUCCUAUUCCUGACCAUCUUUGAUUCAAUCUUAUCAAAGAUUAAUUCUAAGCUGAACAUCGGUGCCGGUAGCACCCUGGUGCAUCGAAGUUCCAUUUGAGGUCUUUGAAUGCACAUCGUUGCUCCAGCAACCUUGCUCACACCUGUUCUGCCAAGCAAAGAGCUCCAGCCACUAUAUUGUUGCAUACUUGAUAUGGUAAACAACCAAGUAUUUCACUGUAGAAAAAUCAGAUAAAUACAUAGAAACACCAGAUAAUACUAUUGAAGACAUCAAAAAAUUGUAAACAACCAAACAUCAGGCAUUAAAGUUCUCAGUGUUCAUUUUCAAAACAAGUGCAGCCAUCUUUCUCUCUCUUCCCCCAACUAGGUCUUGUCCCUGCGCACGAGUUUUUUUCCCUUAGUGGGGGUGCGGAUGGAUGGCAGUUUUGCCCUGAUAAACUUGCCACUAAAUUCUAGGUACCUAAAUCAAACCAAGUGGCAUGGAGGAAUAGAUAGACGGAGAUAUGAGGAGAAAAUAUACAAAAUAGCAAUACUGACAUUUUUGGUGACCAUUGGAGUAACCAAGACAAGAAACACUCAACUAGGAUCCUUCUAUGGAUCCUAGCUUUACGGUAGUAGGUAGUUUUAGUACUGAUCCAGCUAUGGAUCGUAGUUCAGUAGUAGAUAAUCAUGUAACACCAGCCAUCCUUGGUGCCCAGUGCACCUUGCCCCCUGUAUCUUUUGCAAAUCAGUAAUGAAGCUAAGUAAUCUUUUAUGACCAAAAAAAUGACAAGAAACACUCAACUUUUCAAACAAGGGCAUCUUAGAAUUAUAUUUGAUAAAACCCACCAAUGAGCCUAGUCUGGAAUCCAACUAUUUCUUUUCAGCCAUAAGGGAAUGCAUAACCGUCAAGAGUCCAUGAGAAGAAUGACGCAAACAGUGUUAUUAGAAACCAUCAUUUUGUUGCUUAAAACGACGGAGAGAUGCAAAGAGAGGGGUCACCGCCUCAUGGGAGAAACAAUGCACUUAACUUUAUGAAGCACACACUACACAUAGUGAGGUGCUAAGCAAUUCUAUAAGACCAACAACAACUAUGCUCAGUCCCAAACAAGUUGGGACCAGCUAUAUGAAUCCUCACUUCUUCAUUUAGCUCAACUCUCUAUAAGACCCUUGUGAAAAAAUCCCUGUAAGAAGUACUCGCUUCUUUGAAUUCAGCAUAAGAUGAAAAAUAACAGAUUUGUUUGAGAAAUAGGACUCUUCUCCACUUAAACUUCAUCAGUCUCUUUGGUGAUACUGUCUGCUUCAUCUUUCUCGAGUUUGCUAACACUUCUUCAACUACUUAUGUUUCACCGCCGCUUUUCAUUUGCUUCUUCCUUCUUGUUGUUCUUCAAAGAAGGUGUUUUCUUCUGUUACUUCUAGGAUAGGGAGUCAUCUUCUUAUACUUCAGUUUCUAAGUUUCUCUCUUGUUUCUCCCUUCUACUCUCUUGGUACAAUUAUUAAAGCAAUUAAGAUUAUAAAGGCGAUUAUAUAUGAUAUUGAAUAUUACAAAUGAAACUUAAUUCUUUUAAUGACGUUUGAUUAAAAUUGAAAAAUUCACUCUGCCAUUGAAGUUAUCUUUCACUGUCCUUGUUGAAAUUUUGUAUUAGUAUUGUAGUUUUUGUGUAAUGGACGCUCGAAAUUACCGAAUUUAAUGGCACUUUAAUGUUAUUGGUACUAAAGACAUUUUUUUGUAGUUCUGGUGAAUUGUGCAAUUCAUCUGUGUGCUUUGCCACUUCUCACUCAAAUCCCCACCUGGCCUUGUCAGUCUUUGCACUUUAUUGCUUUUAAAAAUAUUGGUGACAGAUAUGUUAAUGCCAUUAGUCCAACACCAACAAAAUGUUUAAAAGUACAAAGGAAACCAAACAUAACAGGGAAAAAGUGUCAGUUUUCAACCGCAGAUAUGUUAAUGCCGGUUAGGCCAACACCAACAAAAUGUAUAAAAGUACAAAGGAAACCAAACGUAAUAGGGAAAAGUGUCAGUUUUCAACCGACACCAGUUACUGAUGGAUAAAAGAAAAAUGGACCACUAAAUUCCAUUGCCCUCAGCUGCUUAGACAAAGCCUAAAACUGCAAAAUAAUCCAGGACACAUCCAUCACCCCUCACACAUAUUGUUGCCUAUGGCUGAACACAAACUGCUCCUUUGUUUGUUCCAACAAAAUGAAAUUGCAUGCUUCACCUAAUAGACUGCACUUACCCCCAAAGAGAUGGUCCCAUGCUUUCCAACCAUCAAACUAAAAGAAAUCAUAAUACUUAAUCCCUCUGUUAACCUUAUAUUUUAAGGUGUCAGCUAUUUAGGAAUGUGUACUGGUGGGUGUCAUACAUUCACUUCUUUUGCCGAAUAUGUCUGUGGAAGAAGAAAAUUCAAGUAAAAACAAAGUAAACACCACAUGGACCACGAAACUUACCAUUAAAUAACAUAACUAAGAACCAGAACUUGACUUUUGAACCCACACUUGUUUCUGCAUUUACAUCAUAGUCCAUGCAAGCACAUUAGUAAAUGUACAUAGUAAAAGCAGAGGUAAGUAAAAAAUAAGACUUCAAAAAGAAACCAGACCUCAAGUACAUAGUAAAAGCAGAGAUAGUACAAAAUAAGACUUUAAAAAGAAACCAGACCUCAAGAGAACUGUAGGCAGAAGUACCUCCCCUUCUCGCGGGUUUUCCUUCCCCAACAGAAGGUCCAUCUGCAUCCCUCAAACCACGACGACUGCCAUGUUUAUAGUUACCUAGAUUCAUCAGAAACUUUUGAAGUAACCACAAAAGAACCAAUAGCUACGAGACAAGAAAAAAUUAAGCAUAACUCAGCACAAUCAUCUCAUGGCCAUAAAAAAAAGACUAUCCAUUAUCAGCAGAAGAAUGAGAAUUACGCCCACUUCGAAUCAGUCUGAACUCACAGCCGUGCGCGAUUGGCACAUCACCUUUCGCCCCUCCUUGGCCCCCAGAAAAAAAGAGUAUGAUUUCAAGAGAAAAAACUGAACUAAAGGUAAUCUUACAUACAGUGAAACAUUUAGCUACAAUUACGAGGUAAGAUGCAUACACUCCUUUGAAAUCAUAAGAGUCUAUUUUCCAAUCAGAAGAUUUUGAGAAUGUAUCCAUCUGAAAAAAGGGCAAAAUUAGUUAUUAGUGAUACAAGUGAACCAACCUUCAACAAAAUCUCGCACUUGGGAAGAUUGUUCAUCACUGGCCUGUGAACUAUCAGCACGGCGAAGAGGAGCCCAAACACCACGAUCAGGCCUAUCUCUAUUCCUAGAACGCCUUUCUUGCUU
This 3828-nucleotide long non-coding RNA is filed under the name Nicotiana benthamiana. Its description in RNAcentral is "long non-coding RNA (NBEN_LNC015313)". The record is from RNAcentral. Lineage: Eukaryota; Viridiplantae; Streptophyta; Magnoliopsida; Solanales; Solanaceae.